AGAAAUGGCCUGUAAACAUAUUACGCAUGCGCAGUUGUAGGCGCUUUAAAACGAGUCUGAGGAGGGAACAUGAAGACAUUUGCAGGUGGUCUCGGUUUUUAGAAGAGCUUUCAUCAAGCCGGCAGCACAUUUGGAUGAAAGUUGCCUGGUUCACAUGGAAACCUCAUUGCUGUGGUAUCACAGAGGGGCUGCAGGAUGAGAAGACUCUGUGUUGUUUAUGACUGAGAUCUUAGCAGAACACCAACAUCAUCAACUUUGACUUAACUCUGCUGCUACUGGUGUCUACAUGUUCAACAAGACGUGCACAAGGGCCAAAUCCUGAGCAAAUCUCAGGUCUUAGACCCUGAUUACAUGACAAGCAAAGUUGACCUCACUGCCCUGGUUGCAGAAUUAGUUAGAAGAAACAAAAGUGUGGGGGUGUUGUCCCCUGUCAGACCAAUGGGGGGUGAGGGAACCCCAGUGAAAGGUAAACCCCUCUCUGUUGACAACAUGGAAAACCCUCAGAUGGCUGUGAACAACAGCCCCAAAGAUGUUGGUGCUGACGACAGUGCGAAAGGCGUCGUCUCUGGGGUUGUUGGCACCGCAUCCAUCGAACUCUCCACUGAGGGCAAAUGGAGGAACAUUAGAAAGACCCCCGCCAAUCCACACACGCAGGCCAACUGCCUCCGACAGAUUGUCCUGCUGCAACUGGACCUCAUUGAACAGCAGCAGCAACAGUUGCAGUCCAAAGACAAGGAGAUAGAUGAGCUCAAAGCAGACAAAGAGACGUUGCUUGCACGUAUUGAGCGUAUGGAACGUCGCUUGCAACUUACAAAAAAGGACCCACCUCGUGACAAGCGCCUUUUUCAGCCAUUGGAACCAUGGACUCCAGAUAAGGAGGACAUGUGGGACCUGGAUAUAGAGGAGACUCCUCAGUCCAACCAAGGCGCUUCUCUUCCAUUCAUUCGAGGUGGUAAAGGUCAAAAGAGAAAGUCUUGCUUUGGGGAUGUGAAAGCCCAGAAAUCUCGGAGCAAAAGUGCCAAACUUAGUCCGCAGAAAUCCGAUAUUCCACCCGGCUCACCCACACACAGAGAACUGCGCGCGAAAGACACGCCAGAGAAGACGGUUCCCACCAGGUCUGCCACAGAAAAGGACAGUUUGCUUCCAUACAAAGAGGAGCUUGAUCUAAACCACCAGAUAGAAGACCUGCCCUUCAUGUCGACCACUGAGAUGUACCUCUGCUGCUGGAAUCAACCUCCCCUCUCCCCUCUGCGUGAGACUUCCCCAAAAAAGGAGGAAGAGGUGGCCAGUGAGUGGACUCCUCAUGUAGUUCAUGAUAUGCUGAUUGUUUUUCCAUCCUGGAGAGAGAAUUACAUUGAGCCUUUAGCGGACGACGAAGAGGCCGUGAACGCACUGGAGCCACUGGAUGACGGUGUGUUUUUGAAACGGCACGCAAAGCUGGAGUUGGAUGAAAAACGAAGGAAAAGAUGGGACAUCCAGCGAAUCAGGGAGCAGCGCAUGUUCCAGCGGCUACAGCAGCGCAUGAACAGGAAAAAAGUGGUGCAGGAGACUGAGCCAGAUAUUUCAUCCUUUUAUCCCGACACAGAAGAUGUGGAGACUAUAGUGGUCACUCCUUUUUUGCCUGUGGUUGCGUUUGGCCGGCCGUUGCCCAAAAUCACACAACAUUGACUCUCAAAACAGAUGAGGUUAAAACAACAGUGAGGUCAUAAGUCACCGCCCUGGCAGAUUGACUGCAGUGAUUGGCUCCAGCCCUCCACAGUCCUGGAAAGGGUUAAGAGGAACUUCGAGCUGCCCUGGCUGGACGACCGCAGCCGAUGUCGCAUUGAGGUGCCCAAAAAACACACACCUCACCGGACCUGUCGGAAGUGAGAAACACUGGUCAUUGUCAGCAAUAUAGAGAGAUAUUGGCUUUGUCUGCAUUACACAAUGCCACGUUGGUCAUGUUGGCAUACGACACAGGUCAAUCGGUUGUUGUGUAAUAACCGCUGUUGCUUUCAGUCUCCGGAAGAUUGAACGACUCUCCAGCCUCGAUUUGUCACCAGAGAACAGCUGAUCUCCAGCAUAGUAUUAAAAAAACAUACAAGCAAAAACAAAAAAUCAAAAAGAGACAACUGUGUCUGUAGGUGUCAUUUGUAUAUUCAGUCUCAGACCCAGCUUCUUUGCUUGAUACUGAAAGAUUGAAGUUAGCAGUGGGCGAGAAAACACGUCACUUUCUUCUUAGCAAAUAAUGUUAGUGUUCAGCGACGUGACUGAGAGAUGAUCAACCAGAGUUGCACCACUCAUCCAGAAUCUGGCUGGAUUCAACAAAAGUGAAUGUUUAGUCUGAUUCUAAAUGCAUAGACAGCUGAUAAUAGCAGCUACAUAAGAGAUGUUUUCAAGUUUUGUUGCCAUAUAGAUUUUAAAAAAGAGCAGUAGUGCUAACAGCUUUUCCGCUCCUGGCAGUCGCAUCACUCAUUCUUGGCAUCAAAGUGAGAAAAAGUCAAUAUCUGACUGUGUUGUGCUAUGUAUUGCCUAUAAUUGAUGUUUGCACACAACUUCAGGUGAGGUUAUAUCAAUGUUCAAUGUGAUCUGUGGAGUUUUGAGCCUCACAAAGCAUGUUUUUUAAGAAAAGAAAAGCAGAUACAGUAGUCGAUGUAAAUCGUAAAUGCAGCCACCAUGGUUGUAAAUCACUGUUUUGUGUUCAUUUAAACAAUGGCACAAAAAGUUCUGUUUGGGUAAAGCCAACAUCAUUUUCAGUGACCUGUUUGUUCUUUAUUUUCUUUAUUGCAUGGCUGCAUCCAAAAAAGCAUGGCUGAGUCCCAGAACAGAAAAUCACUGCUGUUCAGUGUGCUGCAAAAAUGGAGGGAAGAAAAUGCCUUUGGAGCCAUGACUUGCUCUGCUCUUAUACUUUUCCAUCACAAGGGAAUCUGAUGAAAAAUCUUACAAUUAAUCUUUGUGUUUUCAACACUUGAAUCCAGUAGAUAUUACACAAAAUGCUGAUGCAUUUUUUUAUGAUGCUGACAUUCAAAAGAACAAUAAAUCUCUGCUAGCUGUAGUUAUAGCGAUGUACGCCAGUAGGCUCUUCAAGCGCUUCCAAUUAAUCUUCUCAUCUCUGAAUUAACCCGUUACAGUCGCCGUUUUUAGCCUUUGCUGAUGUUUCCUUGCUGCAUUUUCUCUGAAAUGUGAUGCACCAGCUCUUCUGCAGCUGGAAAAAAACUAACAAUCUUCUCGUCAUGUACAUAGCUCUUGGAAAACCAGUGUAUAUAAAACAUGGCUAUAACAUGGUUAUUUUUUUAUUAUUUAAUGUCAGAAGUGUGGAGUUCAUCCAAUAUUGUUCUACAAUUGUUUGUUGACAAAUUUGCAAAGUUUAAUUUGUUUUGGAAUAAAAGUAACUUCUCUUUGAUACACAGA
Molecule: RNA transcript, 3390 nt
Organism: Cynoglossus semilaevis (tongue sole)
Lineage: Eukaryota; Metazoa; Chordata; Actinopteri; Pleuronectiformes; Cynoglossidae
Gene: msl1b
Gene name: MSL complex subunit 1b
Exons: 11
Source: RefSeq, a predicted model, not a curated record